Molecule: long non-coding RNA, 3853 nt
Organism: Salvelinus fontinalis (brook trout)
Lineage: Eukaryota; Metazoa; Chordata; Actinopteri; Salmoniformes; Salmonidae
Exons: 4
Source: RefSeq, a predicted model, not a curated record
UCUGUCCAUAGGACCACUUCAAGCUGUACACUCCACAGAGCACCAUUAAAUCCAUUAUUAAAAACUUGAAAGAAUAUGGCACCACAACAAACCUGCCAAGAGAGGGCCGCCCACCAAAACUCAUGGACCAGGCAAGGAGGGCAUUAAUCAGAGAAGCAACCAAGAGACCAAAGAUAACCCUGAAGGAGCUGCAAAGCUCCACAGCGGUGAUUGGAGUAUCUGUCCAUAGGACCACUUCAAGCUGUACACUCCACAGAGCUGGGCUUUACAGAAGAGUGGCCCAAAAAAAAGCAAACAUGUUUGGUGUUCUCCAAAAGGCAUGUGGGAGCUGAGACUAAAAUGGAGCUUUUUGGCAAUCAAGGAAAACGCUAUGUCUGGUGCAAACCCAACACCUCUCCUCACCCCAACACCAUCCAUAUUUUUCAUCGCCCGGGACUGGGAAACGGGUCAGAUUUGAAGGAAUGAUGCAUGGAGCUAAAUACAGGGAAAUUCUUGAGGGAAACCUCAAAUCUUCCAGAGAUUUGAGACUUGGACGGAGGUUCACCUUCCAGCAGGACAAUGACCCUAAGCAUACUGCUAAAGCAACACUCGAGUGGUUUAAGGGGAAAAUUUAAAUGUCUUGGAAUGGCCUAGUUAAAGCCCAGACCACAAUCCAAUUGAGAAUCUGUGGUAUGAGCGGAACCCAUCCAACUUGAAGGAGCUGGAGCAGUUUUGCCUUGAAGAAUGAGCAAAAAUCUCAGUGGCGAGAUGUACCAAGCUUAUAGAGACAUACCCCAAGAGACGUGCAGCUGUAAUUGCUGCAAAAGGUGGCUCUACAAAGUAUUGACUUUGUGGGGGGUGAAUAGGGGUCAACCUGUUUUUUUGUCUUAUUUCUUGUUUGUUUCACGAUAAAAAAUAUUUUGCAUCUUCAAAGUUGUGUAAAUCAAAUGAUACGACCCCCCCCCCCAAAAUCCAUUUUAAUUCCAGGUUGUAAGGCAACAAAAUAGGAAAAAUGCCAACGGGGGUGAAUACUUAAGCAAGCCACUGUAUUGGAGAGUUGGGCUGAAGACACUGUAGAGAGUAGUUGACUGUAAUGUGUUAAGGUGAACAUUAAAUAAAUCUGUUCCGUUUAUUAUAAGUACGCUUUGGAGUUUUCAGUAAAAGAUCCCAGCAUCUUAGGAUGCAACAAACCACACCAGGAAUUAUCUUCAGGUAUUCAACCUGAACAUCCAUCGUCACUCCUGAGAUGACUCCUUUGACGAGGGCUCUACUCCGAUGUUCAAAACGUAAAACUUCCGUUGUCCGGAUUCUUUUGAGGCCCACUGCUAUCUUCCUCUGCUUGUCAGAAAUACAAUUAAUCAAAAUAAAACCACUAUUGGUCACUGACAGACUCCACUUUUCCAAGCGCAUACUUCACCAUUUGACACUUCAAACGGUUUCCCACAUAUGCAUCCUUACCACAGAUAACGUUAGACCAAUGAGAAUUAGAACACCUUUGUCCUUACUCAACAACCGCAUCCCAACAAGAAGCGACUCAUUAUCAUUUACACACGUAUCCUCCACUCAAAUUUUCGACAAUAUCCUUUUUGUUCCAGUUUUUGAUUUUACUGUUGUCCAUUCAGAACAUUCGUCUUCACCAGAUUUACUCGACACUGCUUAAUUCUAACUCAAACACUUCCUCUCCUGGGCCUGUUGCACAAAAGUAGAAUUAAGACAUCCGGGAUAAAUGACUCAGCUGAGCUCAAUGAAGCCAAAACAUGUGCGUCCAGGCUUAAUUGGUUGCACAAAGACCAAGCCAGGAUGAGCAGACACGGAUUCAUUAAGCCAGGUGAAACCAAUCCUGGAUAGGUGCGCGCUCACGGCUCACUCAAAUAGACCCCGCCACAGAUCACAGAUUAACUGAUUUACCAUGGCAACUAGAGCCGCGUACUUUUCCCCGUCGGAAGCACAAAUCCUCAUGGAGGCAUACGAGGAGGUAAAAGAUAUAAUUAAGAAGAAAGGCAACACCGCCACAGUGAUAAAGCAAAGAGAAAAAGCGUGGCAAAGUAUUGCAGACCGCCUGAAUGCGUAAGUAGUGCACAAUUACACAGUCACCGCUCCGCUGAAACAUCACAAUUACAAUUCAAAUAUUUAAUUCACAUCUCCAAAAAUGCAGUUGUACUGUAAUUAUGAAACGGUUAAAUUUUUAAUUGAAAUGCACUGCAGAUAUGAGUGAAAUUGUGUAAAGUAACUCCAUCACACUGUAUAAAGCUAUGAUACAUUUUUUGAUAUUUUUACUGAAAACAAGACAAAAAUACCAAGUAAUUUUUUGCAGUGUGACUCCAUUAAAUGUGUGUGUGUGUGUGUGUGUGUGUGUGUGUGUGUAGAUUAAACAUGAACGGGCCAAAACGGACAUGGCAGCAGGUCAAAAUCAAAUACAAGAACAUUCUGCAGAAUGCAGUGAAAAAGAAUACCCACAGACAAGGCACGGGUGGUGGGUCACCAAAGGCUGACCUUACCCCAGCAGAGGACAUGGCCUUGGAGCUAAAUAAAGACAGGCCCGUCUUAGAGGGGAUCCCUGGGGGGAAAGAGACGAGCAUAGGUUCCUCCCAAGAUGACACCCGCUUCAUUCAAGUGUCUGGCAGCACUGUGUUCCUGUUAGAGCCACCAGCACAAGCACCAGACGAUGCUGAUCCAGGUGAAGGCCCCAGUGCAGCAGCAACAGCACAUGAUGGAGACGAUGAUGAGGAGGAGACCAUCUCUCUGGAUUCCAGAAGGCAUGAGGUAUCAUGUUAAGACUGUGAAAGUACUAUUUACUCUACAAUGGUGAGGAGUCCUCAUCAAAAUCAAAAAAUCGAAUUUCUUUUACAGGACCCAGAUGCUAUACAGUGGGAAAACCAGCCUGGCAACAUAGUGCGUAUUAAUAAAAGGACACCACAUCCUGCCAAAUUCCAGCUGCGCUAAUUGUAUUGUGUUCACAGAGCUCACAAGCUAUCAGAAAGUUGUAUGGCAACCACCUCCGGCGCCAAAUAGAACUGGCAGACAUAGACAUUCAGUACAAGAAGAAAAAGAUGGAAAAUCUUGCACUGGAGUCCGAAAUAAAAAAGAGGACAAUUAGGAAACUGGACCUUGAAAUAAAAAAACUUGAGAGGGAGGUGAGAUAUGCCUUCAAUGUACACUGUAUGCUAACUGUAACACAAAUGUAUUAAUCAUUAUUUUUCUUUCCUCCCCCAGCUCCAAGAAGAUGACACAGCUCAAAAUAAAAAUUAGGUAUAUUCUCGUAAAGUCAAGUGAGCCAUGACAUAUGAGCUCUUAUUGUGAGCACACAGGACGGUGGCAUCUUUCUAAGUUUUUUUUAAUUUUCCCAGCAAUCAGUACAACCAAGUCAUCGUUAUAAGGCAUCGCCCUCUUUUGCCCACCCCCCCAGCACCAGGUGUGGCCACUAGCCUAUAUGAAGGCCCAAAAUUGUGUGUUCCUUUCUGCUCUGACUAUGGCAUGCCCAUUCGUGCGAGAUGUGGUGGAUGAAGAAGCACUUGUGCUGAGGAGAGCCUUCAGGCGAGAAAGGGUCUUCAGGGACCGGUUGGACCCACUGGCCUUCCCUGAUGACCAUCUAUAUGAAAGAUACAGGUUUUCUGCAGAUGGCAUCAGGUAUCAAUGCAGACUACUGGGUCCCAGGAUUAAGCACCGCACUGCACGGAGCCAUGCACUGAGUGUGGAGCAAAUGGUUUGUGUGGCCUUGCGCUUUUUUGCUAGUGGAGCCUUCCUGUACUCAGUGGGGGAUGCAGAACAGCUGAACAAGGCCACAAUUUGCCGCACAAUAAGGAGUGUGUGUCUGGCUAUCAAAGCAUUAGCAGAUGUCUUCAUCUCCUUCCCUGGCCACAGAAGACUCUGUGAC